AUUGAACGCUGGCGGCAUGCUUUACACAUGCAAGUCGAACGGCAGCGCGGGCUUCGGCCUGGCGGCGAGUGGCGAACGGGUGAGUAAUACAUCGGAACGUGCCCAGUAGUGGGGGAUAGCUCGGCGAAAGCCGGAUUAAUACCGCAUACGACCUGAGGGUGAAAGCGGGGGAUCUUCGGACCUCGCGCUAUUGGAGCGGCCGAUGGCAGAUUAGCUAGUUGGUGGGGUAAAGGCCUACCAAGGCGACGAUCUGUAGCUGGUCUGAGAGGACAACCAGCCACACUGGGACUGAGACACGGCCCAGACUCCUACGGGAGGCAGCAGUGGGGAAUUUUGGACAAUGGGCGAAAGCCUGAUCCAGCAAUGCCGCGUGUGUGAUGAAGGCCUUCGGGUUGUAAAGCACUUUUGGCGGGAACGAAAAGGACUGUGCCAAUACCACGGUUCGAUGACGGUACCCGCAGAAUAAGCACCGGCUAACUACGUG
RNAcentral lists this ribosomal RNA (484 nucleotides) under uncultured bacterium. RNAcentral describes it as "partial 16S ribosomal RNA". It matches the Rfam family "Bacterial small subunit ribosomal RNA", at positions 29 to 507 of the family's 1533-position model. The record is from RNAcentral.